GGGGAAGAUCGCCUCGCCUCACCGUGAUUCUUAUUUCCGGGGAAAGGCCUCAUAAAAGUCAGCCUGGCUGCUCAGGAGUGGGACUGUCACUCUCCUCGCCACGUCUCCGAGGCGGAGCAGAGCUCGCCGGAGCGAGAGACCUCUGAAAACAAAUAAAGCCAAUGAGAGAGCACACCAGACUUUGCUACACCAGAGUCAGAAAAAAAGAAAAGGAGCUGGAAGCCGUCCAUCCCGAAGCCGACCCACGCAGAGGGAGUGUGCAGAAGAGACAAGUUCUUGGAAAGGGAAACCAGGCAGUUUGGAAAUGGCAGAGCCCCUGGGCACUGCUCAGAUGUCUCAUCUGCCUGCAUCAAGCUGCAUCUGCUCUUUACAAGCUGCAGGUUUCACUGAUGCGGAGACGGAUGUUGUGAAAGGCAGUUGUGGCUGGGAUUUGCUGGGGCUUGCAGGUGGUAGUAAAAUUUUGGAGAGCUGACAGCAAGUGAUGUUGUAGUUCAAAAUCUUAGAGAAAUAACAUAAUAAUGGGGAUAUAAAACACUUAAGAUCUGGUGGAAAAGUUCCUGUUUGUAUCUUGGGGACAGAAAUAAAAUGG
Molecule: long non-coding RNA, 589 nt
Organism: Motacilla alba alba
Lineage: Eukaryota; Metazoa; Chordata; Aves; Passeriformes; Motacillidae
Exons: 3
Source: RefSeq, a predicted model, not a curated record